AUUGAACGCUGGCGGCAUGCUUUACACAUGCAAGUCGAACGGCAGCACAGGGAGCUUGCUCCUGGGUGGCGAGUGGCGAACGGGUGAGUAAUGUAUCGGAACGUGCCUGGUAGUGGGGGAUAACUACUCGAAAGAGUGGCUAAUACCGCAUGAGAUCUUUGGAUGAAAGCGGGGGACCUUCGGGCCUCGUGCUACUGGAGCGGCCGAUAUCAGAUUAGGUUGUUGGUGGGGUAAAGGCCUACCAAGCCUGCGAUCUGUAGCUGGUCUGAGAGGACGACCAGCCACACUGGGACUGAGACACGGCCCAGACUCCUACGGGAGGCAGCAGUGGGGAAUUUUGGACAAUGGGCGCAAGCCUGAUCCAGCAAUGCCGCGUGCAGGACGAAGGCCUUCGGGUUGUAAACUGCUUUUGUACAGAACGAAAAGGCUCUGGCUAAUAUCUAGAGAUCAUGACGGUACUGUAAGAAUAAGCACCGGCUAACUACGUG
This 488-nucleotide ribosomal RNA is filed under the name uncultured bacterium. Its description in RNAcentral is "partial 16S ribosomal RNA". It matches the Rfam family "Bacterial small subunit ribosomal RNA", at positions 30 to 507 of the family's 1533-position model. The record is from RNAcentral.